RNAcentral lists this ribosomal RNA (174 nucleotides) under uncultured bacterium. RNAcentral's name for it is "partial 16S ribosomal RNA". It matches the Rfam family "Bacterial small subunit ribosomal RNA", at positions 1319 to 1500 of the family's 1533-position model. The record is from RNAcentral.
CAUGAAGCUGGAUUCGCUAGUAAUCGCGCAUCAGCCACGGCGCGGUGAAUACGUUCCCGGGCCUUGUACACACCGCCCGUCAAGCCAUGGAAGCCGGGGGUGCCUGAAGUGCGCUGCCGCAAGGAGCGCCCUAGGGUAAAACCGGUGACUGGGGCUAAGUCGUAACAAGGUACC